GGACGGAUGGCCGAGCGGUUUAAGGCACCAGUCUUGAAAACUGACGUACGUGGUAAGCGUGCCAUGGGUUCGAAUCCCAUUCCGUCCG
RNAcentral lists this transfer RNA (88 nucleotides) under Wolbachia endosymbiont of Litomosoides brasiliensis. RNAcentral's name for it is "tRNA-Ser". It matches the Rfam family "tRNA". From Rfam's summary of the family: Transfer RNA (tRNA) molecules are approximately 80 nucleotides in length. Their secondary structure includes four short double-helical elements and three loops (D, anti-codon, and T loops). Lineage: Bacteria; Pseudomonadati; Pseudomonadota; Alphaproteobacteria; Rickettsiales; Anaplasmataceae. The record is from RNAcentral.